Vitis vinifera (wine grape) is the source of this 757-nucleotide long non-coding RNA. RefSeq lists it as uncharacterized. The transcript has 2 exons. The record is from RefSeq and is a predicted model, not a curated record. NCBI's taxonomy places the organism in Eukaryota, Viridiplantae, Streptophyta, Magnoliopsida, Vitales, Vitaceae.
GGCAAAAACUACCCUAUAUUUGUAAUAACUUCUUCCACUACAGUAAUUUAAGAAUAACUUUUUUAAAUUAAUGCACUAUUGAGAAAAGUCCAUUGUUCUUCAACUUUAGCCUUUUUUUGUAUUGCCACUAACCACUAAAUAGGCGGAUUUUAGAAAAUGAAUACAGUAUUUUUAAAAAUAUGAUAAUUAAAAAAUUAUUUCCAAUUCCAUGACAAUUUGUAUGAUUUUUUUUUUUAAAUACAUCAUUGGAAAACACAAGAUAACGACGUCGUUCGAAGCAGAACUGUAAGGCGCCCUUCGGCCGAGCAUCGACUCUCUUCACUGCAAUCGGUGGCUUUUGCGGUCUCUCUCUAGCUCUAGCGUUGUUGGGUGAAUUCAUCAAUAAGGAAAAAUGCAGUUCUUUGGAGGGUCGGAGAUCAGCCCAUUGCCGCCGCUGCCAACAGCAUCGGGAAACAAUGGCCACAUGAUGUAUGUGUUUAACAGGAAUGGGGUGUGCUUGCUUCACAGGAAUGGAAUCGCCCUCUUAGGACUCUGAAUGCCCAGCAAGACCAUAAGCUCAUGUUUGGUCUGCUUUUCUCUCUUAAGUCCUUAACAGCUGAGAUGGAUCCCACUGAGUAUAUCUUCUUCCUAGUCUUUGAUUCGAAUUGGAACUGUUUUCGGGGAAAUGGAAUUACUUGAUUUUGUAUUUGGAUAACUUUUGAAAGCAUAAAUUCAUUGUUUGGAAUAGAAUUAUGACAUAUAUGUAAGAAGAAAGAAA